GUAGUCCUGGCCGUAAACGAUGUCGACUUGGAGGUUGUGCCCUUGAGGCGUGGCUUCCGGAGCUAACGCGUUAAGUCGACCGCCUGGGGAGUACGGCCGCAAGGUUAAAACUCAAAUGAAUUGACGGGGGCCCGCACAAGCGGUGGAGCAUGUGGUUUAAUUCGAUGCAACGCGAAGAACCUUACCUGGUCUUGACAUCCACGGAAGUUUUCAGAGAUGAGAAUGUGCCUUCGGGAACCGUGAGACAGGUGCUGCAUGGCUGUCGUCAGCUCGUGUUGUGAAAUGUUGGGUUAAGUCCCGCAACGAGCGCAACCCUUAUCCUUUGUUGCCAGCGGUCCGGCCGGGAACUCAAAGGAGACUGCCAGUGAUAAACUGGAGGAAGGUGGGGAUGACGUCAAGUCAUCAUGGCCCUUACGACCAGGGCUACACACGUGCUACAAUGGCGCAUACAAAGAGAAGCGACCUCGCGAGAGCAAGCGGACCUCAUAAAGUGCGUCGUAGUCCGGAUUGGAGUCUGCAACUCGACUCCAUGAAGUCGGAAUCGCUAGUAAUCGUGGAUCAGAAUGCCACGGUGAAUACGUUCCCGGGCCCUGUACACACCGCCCGUCACACCAUGGGAGUGGGUUGCAAAAGAAGUAGGUAGCUUAACCUUCGGGAGGGCGCUUACCACUUUGUGAUUCAUGACUGGGGUGAAGUCGUAACAAGGUAACCGUAGGGGAACCUGCGGCUGGAUCACCUCC
RNAcentral lists this ribosomal RNA (740 nucleotides) under uncultured bacterium. RNAcentral describes it as "bacterial SSU rRNA". It matches the Rfam family "Bacterial small subunit ribosomal RNA", at positions 790 to 1530 of the family's 1533-position model. The record is from RNAcentral.